GUGGGCUCUUUCAUCUGCUUUGACUUGGGUGAAGAAAGGGGUGUAGCCAGAGAACCAUUUGGGAAAGGUCAAGUUCACUAACAAAAGUCAACUGGGCUUUGUGAAAAUGAACAAUGGAACUUCUUCUGGUUACUUGAUUUUACAUCAUCUAUGAAACUAGCACAU
Long non-coding RNA from Perognathus longimembris pacificus (Pacific pocket mouse), 165 nucleotides. RefSeq lists it as uncharacterized. The transcript is spliced from 3 exons. Lineage: Eukaryota; Metazoa; Chordata; Mammalia; Rodentia; Heteromyidae. The record is from RefSeq and is a predicted model, not a curated record.